Non-coding RNA from Subdoligranulum sp. 4_3_54A2FAA, 176 nucleotides. Lineage: Bacteria; Bacillati; Bacillota; Clostridia; Eubacteriales; Oscillospiraceae. The record is from Rfam.
AAAAACCGCAGAGGUGCGGUUUUCAAGAGUAAACGCGUGUAUCGUGAUUGCCAAAAUCCUAAGCCGCGUCAAAAGGGAAAACCGCCGAAGGCAGCGCGCGGCAAGCGCCGCCUGGCUGCAACGCUGAAAGGCUUGCGGCUGUCGCGUCCGUCGUGGCGCGUUGCGCUGCGGAAGGU